This is a long non-coding RNA of Gadus macrocephalus (Pacific cod), 5655 nucleotides long. RefSeq lists it as uncharacterized. NCBI's taxonomy places the organism in Eukaryota, Metazoa, Chordata, Actinopteri, Gadiformes, Gadidae. The transcript is spliced from 15 exons. The record is from RefSeq and is a predicted model, not a curated record.
UGCCAUCAAGUGGGCAUUGGACAGCCUUCGGUAUUAUCUACUUGGACGGAACUUUGAUUUGGAAACGGACCACCGGGCAUUGAGCUGGAUCAACUCCAUGAGGGAUAAGAACUCCCGUGUCACCAGAUGGUACUUGCAUUACAGCCAUAUUGCUUCAAUAUUACUUACAGAGCUGGAAAAACGAACUUGCUUGCCGAUUACCUGUCCCGCCUUCCUGAACUUGCAGUUCCUGGAGAGGAGGGAGGUGAUGUGACAGUUUGACCACUGUCCCUGUCUGUUUAACUGCCUAUCAAUAGCGCGCAUUGAUGGAUAGUGUAUGAACAGCAAACCUUCAAGCAUACAGUAUAUUCAGGCUAUUUAUUCAAGCAACACUCGCAAACAAUCUCUCCCUCUCAUCAUGGCUCUGUACUGCAGACUAAAAGAGUCAGGGUGGGGCUGAGGGCUUUAAAUAUGGCGUCAGGAAACACCUGCUGGCACUGAUUGGCCCAAUUUGGGCCAAACCAAUUUUCCUUGUGUCAAAGGAGUACACCGGACAUUGACAUUGGACAUUAAUGAGCAACUAGCCUAAAUGCACUUGUGAAAAUCACUGAUCUACAAGAUGAAAUGAACUUUAACACGCAUGCUGUAUUUUUGAUGAGUUUAUUCAUGGUUGAUUUGCAAAAUGCCACAGUAUUAUAAUCCCCCUGUUGAUUGGGCCUGUCUAGUGGGAGGGGCCAUGGGGUAUAAAAGGGGUGAGCUGCUGUCUUUCUGAAAGUCUGCUGUAUGCUGUUGCCAGAAGAGGUUGUCUGUGAUGCUAUCUACUGAGAUUAAAGACUUUUUGAAGUAAAGAGGAGCAUCUCAUCUGAAACUGAUGUCUAUCAUGGAUAUUUAACUGAAGUUCUGUGAGUAUCCCAACUUAACCAUGAAGAUGAACUGCAAACUGUAAGUCAUUAAUUUCUCAUUACUCUUGGGCACAUUGAUGUAUUUUUGCUUCUUGGUGAGUUAACCCGUUGGCUAAAGGUUGAUCUGAGCAGUAAGGAUGUUUUAUUGGUUCAUUGGUUUCUUAGGUGUUUGGUUUAUGUUGGUUUUAAUGAUUUGUUAAAAUGGUUACGAGAUCCAAGUUAUUGUUGUAAGCUGGAGUAAUUGGUUGGGUUCUGAUGUCUUAAGUCUUCUUUCCAGCUACUUUCCUGAGCUCUGCAUCUUCAACACACGAGUGUUGCUUUACUGAUGAGGGUGUGGUCUGAGUGAGCGGAGGUGCAUACUGGGAUACAGAGCUGUCUGAAGUCUACAGGUCUGUAGGCACGCCCCCUCAGGGGAAACCAAGUGUUUCAGAAACCGUCGUGACGUCAGUUAAAUGGACUAGAAUGUUCUUUAAGAUGGAGACGGGAUUCAGAAGGAGAAACGCCAGGGGGAGAUGAGGGGGCUCCUCAUCUCAACAGCUGAAACACAACUGCAGUCUGACACAGAGAACCAUGGAACACAUUCAACAGUCCCCUCCAUGCAUCGUGACUCCUCAUGAAAAGUUUCAUUUCCAAGAAGGUCUUAUUUGGGGCCAUCCCCAUAUGGAUCCUGCUCCUCAAGAGCCAACCCCCCUCCACUGAGUGGUCUUCUGAAGAGAUGACUUCCUUCCUGUCCUCAGGUUGAUUAAAGCUGCACCGUUUGCAUCUGUGAAGGCCCCUCAUUCAGGAAACCACUGGACUACAAAGAAAUGACUUCAGAAACGUUGAAUCAACCUGGGACACAUUUUGGAGACGCCAAGCAUAAUCCAUCACCAAUGUGGGACGCCACUGAAAAAUGUUGCACACAAUUAACUUCUCUGGAGACAUUGGUUGUUCUGUUCUGGGUGCCCUGGCAGGAGAGCUGGGGUUGGAUGAUGGAACGUUAUUUGGCAUGAGGUUUUUACCCUGCAUGAUUGUUUGGCCUUUUAUGGAUCAGUGGUGUGUGUGUUUGGGUUUGACAUGAGAUGGAUUUUUUCAUCGCUAGGGUUCAACUGUGUGUGUGGGUGUGUGUGUGUCUCCCACUCACACGUAGAACCCCAUACCAGGUGUGUGUGUGUGUGUGUGUGUGUCCGGCUUGCUUUGAUCGUGAUAAUGUUCAUACGGGGGUCUGUGUGAUUGGCUUGGGAUAUUGCAAUGGUCAACUAAAUCAUACCUGAUGGACGGCCACACGUUUACUUAAGAGCCUCCAGUAGACAUGAAGAGCCCUGAGUGACGCUCCGUAGCGAUAUCCAACACACUGGGCAGGAAGGAGAGUAUCCAACAAGCGGCGUGUUCAGAUCAGUGACUUCAAACUAGGACCAAUCAGGAUCAAUGGAGGAUGGACACCAAAAGGAAUUCCACAAGGAGAGUCUGACGUUGGAAAGGGACCUAAAUGGAUAUUCAAGAUGACCUUCAGACCUGUAAUGAGACGGCUCUUCCUACCUGGCUGGAUUGAUGGAGAGCCCUGUGGAUCUUGUCUUGCUCUCAGUUGCACGUCUUCUCAGGCUGAACUCUAAUUGUCUCGGACAGGAAUAGCUGAACAAUUGGUUCCCUUAAAUCAGAACCAAUCCGGGAACUCCAUCUAGUGCGCCCUUCGAGCUGAAGUUGUGCUCUUCAGCUGAGGAGGUAAGGAAACCUUCACUGGGGCUUCAAGAUGUAAAGAGGACAAUGUUUCAAAGUGUUCCAUGGUACUCUGAUGAAGACCGUUGGUGUGUUCCACUGGCUGAGAGGAAGAACCCACACAUCUUCCUCUUGGCCUUUCUCCUCUCAGAAUCCUGGCGCCAUCUUGAAGGAUAUUCCAGCUCAUGUAACUGAUGUCACGACAGAUUCACAAACACUUGGUUUCUCCUGAGGGGCGUUUCUAUAGAACUGAAGACUUCAGACGGCACUGUAUCCCAGCAUGCAUCUCUGCUCACUCAGACCACACCCCCAUGAGUAGGAUGCAACACUCUUGGGAUGGAGAUGUAGUGUUUUAUAAGUAACAAGGGAGCAGACUAAGGGGAUUAGAACGUAAUAGAAUGUCAAUUCUAAAUCUUUAAACCAUGAAGAUGGUUGGAAAAGUCAGGAAUUUGGCUUAUUUUUAAUAUGGGCAGUCCUUUCACUCGGAUGCUCACUUGAAAUGUACAUGCGUUGGCUGGCUGGCAUGAUUUGCUGUUGGUGAUGAGGCGGUCAGGGUGACGUUGCAGGGCUAUGGUCGGCUCUCUGUGAGCUCAACGUUUAGAUUUUCUCUGGUUUGUACCCUGAAUAAUCUAGAUAAUUGUAAAAUGUAGACACGGUUUUGCAUUGAAUGAUUCCAGGAUUUUAGGUUUAAAGUUGUUGUACAUGGUAGUUUGGUUCUUCGUAUGGUUUUGAGUGAUUAUAACUUGUACACACUGGGUGCAUAAUAAUGUAAUGUUACACUGAAUAGUAUUAAUGACCAACAGCAACAAACAGAUCUCCUCAAGGUAAGUCUGUUGGCUGUAUUUUAAUGAAGACCAUCGCUGGACUUCAGGAUCUUCCUCCGUUCAGCUCAAGGUGAGGCGCUGGUUACGUUUUUUCUUUGGUUGGUUCCGGCUGGAAUGUUCGGAUUCCAGUCGGACGGUUUGUGCUUCCCGCCGUGGAAGGUUCUGAGUGCGGUCACUUGAUUUAGUCCCAAUGGUUAGCAUAGAAAGUUGUAGUCUUGACAACCAUAAGAACACUAACACGAAUUUCGUACAAUAUGUUCAUUUUCGAUGGUUGCGCCGUACUUUUAACCACGUUGACGGGACUCUCGCUGCGUACAAAACGGCGUUCUACUGGCGGCCCAAUUUUUGGUGAAGGCUGAAAAUCAUUUCAAGGUGGAAGACAAUUUGACAUUUCUUCAAAGGAACCCAGCACCUGAAUAUGAGUUGAGUAAAUUUGAUUUAAUAUUGAUACUGCUUAGUGUUCAUUGUUACUUCACUGUUACUUGCUGAUAUAAACCUCCUGCUGUAGCUCAAAGGCGAGUCUGAGAGGCUGUGGACCGGAGGCUUGUGGUGCCAGGAUGGACCGGAGACUGAGGCUGGAGACCAGGGGCCUGCAGCACCGGACCAGAGGACCAGGAAUCCAUGGCUGAAGGAGCGGAUGGAGGCCCUGCCUGGUGGAGGAGCCAUGCUGAAAGCCCUGCCUGGUGGAGGAGCUGACGGAGGCCCUGCCUGGUGGAGGAUGUCUGUCGUGGGGACUCUGGUUUGGAGGAGAGCUGAUGGAGGAGCUGAUGGAGGAGCUGAGUCGCUGGAGGACGACUUGGAAUCGACCAACAAGGAUUCCUCAACGUGUUUCUGGAGCGGAGGCGAGCUGAUAGGGGAGCCGUGAAUCUGGAGGAUGACGUCACUCUACCAACAAGGAUUACCAGGACUCUGGCUGAGGAGAGCGGAUGGAGGAGCCAUAAAACCAGGAAUCUGGAGGACUGACGGAGAAGCCGUACAUCUGGAAGGCAAAUCCUGAGGACGAUCAGGACUCUACCAUCAAGGAUUCCUCACACAACUGAGCUGAACCCCACCUGAUCCGGACAUCCUGCUGGUCCCGUCUCCUCAGUUCAUCUGAGCCUCUUCCUCCAGAAGACAUGCUGAGCUCAGCAGUCUGAGGCUGAUACCAGGUAUCCAUGGCUGAAGGAGCUGAUGGUGGAGCCGUGCUGAAAGAGCGGAUGGAGGAGCCGUGCUGACGGCCCUGCCUGGUGGAGGAGCCGUGCUGACGGCCCUGCCUGGUGGAGGAUGUCUGUCGUGGGACCAGGACUCUGUCUGAGGAGAGCAGAUGGAGGAGCUGAGAUGCUGGAGGACAACUAGGAAUCGACCAACAAGGAUUCUUCAACGUGUUUGUGGAGCGGAGGCCAGCUGGCAGGGGAGCCGUGAAUCUGGAGGAUGACCAUCACUCUACCAACAAGGAUUACUUUAGGGCCAGACUCGCGCUGUUUGUUCCAGACCAGGACUCUGGCUGAGGAGAGCUGAUGGAGGAGCCAAGACUCUGUAGGACAACAUCACUCCACCAACCAGGAUCCUCAGACGAAUUACGUUUGUAACCAGACCAGGAAUCUGGAGGACUGAUGGAGAAGCCGUACAUCUGGAAGGCAAAUCCUGAGGACCAGCAGGACUCUACCAUCAAGGAUUCCUCAUAAGUUUGCAUUAUCUGGACAAAGUGGCCUAGACACACCUGAGCUGAACCUCACCUGAUCCUGUUUGGUCGGGGGUUGACACACCUGAGCUAAACCCACCCUGAUCCUGACAUCCUGCUGGUCCAGUCUCCUCAGUUCUCCUGAGCCUCGUCCUCCAGAAGACCUGCGUAGCUCAGCAGUCUGAGGCUGAUGGAUCAAUGACCUCCAGUGGGAGGGAUCUUCUUGACCCCACUUGUAACCGUGUGCUUCCACACGCCUUUCCCUCACAUCUGUCACUAACCUCACUACUUCACUACUCUCUACUGCUUCCUCUUUUCUUCCUUCUCUGUGGUUUAAACCUUUUAUACUGAAGGCGCGUCUUCCUGCCCUCAGAGGGUUCAGCGUUAGGGUUGAGAGUCAGGGUUUAGAGUCAGGGACAGAGCUGGUCAGGGAGGACUGCUUUUACACAAACCUCUUGACUUGCUUUCGGAAUGGUGGUGACAUUUUGAAAAGAUUCAUUUGGUAAAAUCUUUUCCUCUGCUUCCCUUUACAAAAUUGUAUCAAACUUCUGUCAAGUGUUUUUGUUUAAAUAUUAAAAUCCCACAUUGACUUCUA